CCUAUUUCUGUAGCUGACUAUCCAACCAAACAAGAAAAACAUACGCAGGCGGUUUUUUGCUGUCGAUGUAUUUAUUUGUUGAUUUUUUUUCUUUCCCCUGUAUGUCUGUUUUUAGCGUUGAGCCUUAACAUAGUAUUUGGCAAUGAUGAACUCACCGUCUUCACAGUAGGCUGCAGAGAAGACAUAACUUUGCACUGUACUUUCCUUCAAAACUGUCAGAACUACACCUCUAUUACGUGGUACAAGUUGAACAAUAACAGCGGUGACAGAUCUACAAUGAAAAUCCUCAAAAAGUCAGAAAGUGUCGUCCAGACUGACAAACCCAACGAUUCUGUGUCACUGGAAAAAAACGCAGCUUUGGUCUUAAGGAAAGUUACUCAAGCUGAUUCUGGGGUGUACACGUGUUUAAUUAAAGCCAAAGCUGGUGGAAAGAACUGUCCAAAUUGGGUUAGACUUAAUAUCUCAGGUAUUUCAUACAUUAUUAAACAACUGUGAAAAUGAACAAAUUCAUAUUCGGCAUAAAAUGUUAUACAGAGUAUUGUACAUUUUCGUCUGGUUUCCUGUGUAUAAAUACAUAUGGCUGUCAAUUCCAGAUGCAGACAAACAAUAUGGCUUUGCUUUGUUAUUUUAGUCUUUUACGUGCAAAAUUCACUUGUUUGAGAUAAUUUCUGGUUAGAUAAUUGUGCCCCAAUUAUCUCCCUAGAUUGUGUGUCAACACCUUCACCCGUCAUCUUUGAAUUCUCCACCAAGUUUAUUAAUGGAUCAUGGUCAAACAUCAGCGUCCCAUUGCCUCAUGUGAAUGACUAUUCAGUGCUUUUUGUCCUGUGGGGUUGUGUAGGACUCGGUGUGAGUAAAAUCAUCCUCAGUGCCAUUUCCAUAUGCGUAAGUAUUUCUAAAUGUAGCGGAUUUAUCUCCAUUUCUUCUGCGCAUUUUAUUUGAAUUAUUAUGUUCAGCAAAGCCUAAGAUGUAGCUAAACACUGACAGGUAAGUAAGUAUGUAAACAAGUUUAAAUGCAAAUGCUCUUAAAGAGAACACUAUUAAUUGACCCUGCAAGUCUGAUCCUAGCUGUUAUUGUGAAAAACUAUUUCUAAGCUAUAAUGGUGAUUGCAUCUGUUCUCAGGUUUUCAAGAAACUCAGAAAACUUAAAAGAAGACAGACUUGAGACCAACCACUGUUUAUCAUCACCUUGUUUGUUUGCAGUUGACUCACCAUACUCUGCAAACUCUGCAAACUUGUGUAAAAGACCAUUGGAUGGUUUAGUGAUUUAACAUGUUAAUACUUAAUCUGUGAAUUUACCUAUGAAUCAUGAUACUCUGAGGAACUGAUACUUUAUAUCUGUUAUAUUUAUUUCCAAAAUGACAUUCCUGUCAUAAGGGCAAAAAAUGGAAGAACAUUUUCUUAAACUUUAAAAUUAUGUUUGGAGGAACUAUGCAUAUUGAAAGUUUUCUGAUGCAUAAUCCAUAUUUAAUACACUGCAAAAGAACAAAUUUUUCUUCAUUAUGGAUUUUUCUUACUAGUGUUAUUCUUGUAUUAUUUAUGUACAUUUGUAGUAUAUUUACUAAAGCAAAUUGUAAAACAAAUAUGUAUUGAUUGAUUGUAUCAAACAAAUUUGUAUCCAUAUUACUGGUUUAAAUUGGCCAGUAAGAAUGUUAAAUUAGUUUAAGCUUUUAUAAAUAUUUCAUUCUCUUUGUUUGUAGGUGUUGUGUGUGAAAUUGGUUUGCUCCAUGUGUGCAAAUUUUCAGAAAAACUAAACAUGAGGUCAUCCUAAAAUAGGUAUACUGUGCUUUUGCCCAUGAAUUGUUGAAUUCCCAAAAAUGGAAAUUAGGCUGCUCUUUACUCACCCACGAGGCAUCCAGUUAUGACUUUCUUCUUUCAGACGAAUCCAGUAAGAGUUAUAUAAAAAAUUGUCUUUGAUCUUUCAAGUUCUAUCAUUGCAGUCAGCGGGUGUUGCAUUCCUUCAGCCAAAAAGAAGUUAAAUAAAAAGCGCCCUUCCAUAAAACAAAGUGUCUCGCACAGCUCGGAUCAGUGGUUCUCAUACUUUUUUCGCCAAGUACCGGCUCAGAAAUAUGUCUCUCUAAGUACCACCAUAACGACCAACAUUAAAAUGACAGUGGCACAAUGCAUAGUUAAACAUUAUAAAUAACAUUAUCACUGCAUUGUGCAUAAAUCCAGGUA
Molecule: long non-coding RNA, 2175 nt
Organism: Carassius auratus (goldfish)
Lineage: Eukaryota; Metazoa; Chordata; Actinopteri; Cypriniformes; Cyprinidae
Source: Ensembl